RNAcentral lists this ribosomal RNA (789 nucleotides) under Microsporidium sp. BPAR3. RNAcentral describes it as "SSU rRNA". It matches the Rfam family "Microsporidia small subunit ribosomal RNA", at positions 46 to 788 of the family's 1311-position model. Lineage: Eukaryota; Fungi; Microsporidia. The record is from RNAcentral.
AGCCAUGCAAGUUAGGGAAGCAUUUAUUGUGGACCAACGAACAGCUCAGUAACACAGUUAUUAUUUACUCGUAGAUCAAAGGAUAACCAUGGUAAGCUAUGGCUAAAACAAGAUUAGUGGUUUUCUAAUAGGAAGCAACAAUGAAAAACUCUAUGACUAAGUUUCUGGCCUAUUAGCUAGUAGGUAGUGUAAGGGACUACCUAGGCUAUGAUGGGUAACGGGAAAUGAUCGUUUGAUACCGGAGAGGGAGCCUGAGAAAUAGCUCCCACGUCUAAGGAUGGCAGCAGGCGCGAAAAUUACCCAAUGCAAUAGUGAGGUAGUUAAGAGGCGUGCUAUUAGCACAAGUUAACAGUAAAGAUGUUAGCGGAAACUGGAGGGCAAGUCUGGUGCCAGCAGCCGCGGUAAUUCCAGCUCCAGAAGCGCAUAUGACCGUUGCUGCAGUUAAAAAGUUCGUAGUUUGAGCACAUGCUUGCGAGUAAAAUACAUUACUUAAAGAUGUAAUUAGCGCAACUAGUGUCUAGAUAGGAACAGGAGAAGGUGGUUGUAUUGGGUAGCGAAAGGUGAAAAUUGCAGACCUACUCAGGACAAACUGAAGCGAAAGCGACCAUCUAGAAUGUAUCCGUUAAUCAAGAACGUAAGCUGGAGUAUCGAAAAAGAUUAGACACCUUUGUAGUUCCAGCUGUAAACUAUGCCGACUAGGUGAGAGAAUUAUUCUUGUGCCUUAGGAGAAAUCAAGAGUUUGUGGGCUCUGGGGAUAGUACGAUCGCAAGAUUGAAACUUAAAGAAAUU